Canis lupus familiaris (dog) is the source of this 1358-nucleotide long non-coding RNA. RefSeq lists it as uncharacterized. The record is from RefSeq and is a predicted model, not a curated record. NCBI's taxonomy places the organism in Eukaryota, Metazoa, Chordata, Mammalia, Carnivora, Canidae. The transcript has 2 exons.
UAGCGGAGGAGAUAGAGACCCCAGAAGAUGCCACUGUUGCCGGCUUAGUCACAGCAACACUUUGGCUUUUGGUCUUAUGUUCUUAGCCUGUCCACAAAAUGGGGCCCUGGCUGAGAGCAGAAGCCUGAACAGGGAUUAUUUAUAGCAGCUCUGGUGAGCAGCUGGGUGGAAGAAGAAGUGGAAACAGCUGCAGAAGAGUUGGACACUUUCCAAGAUCCCUCCUGUGACCUUGUGAUCCUUGCUUGUCUGGGCUGAUGGUAAUAGCACACAGAAACAUCCUCUACCACCUUCAGCCUGCUGGGAUUUCUCUUAAUGAGGAGACCAUGACCUCUUAGACAUGUGUUGGUCACCAUGCUCUUUGUAAAGACUCCAGGGGCACCCUCGGCAAUCUAUGGUUGGUAUCUCUUGUUACCUCGAUACAUCGCAAGCAUUUCACAAUGUGGUCUGUCUCCUCCUUCAUUCCUGUCUCCUCUGCCCUUGAAGAUAGAAGUCUUCCAGCUACUUUCUUUCUCUUCUUCCCUGUUGUCCUAUGUUCUCCCUUUCCUGCGAUUGCACACACCCUGGAUUCAUCCAUCUUCAUAUUACACAUGUCUCUAAGCAAUUCCAGGAGCUCCUGUGGUUUCAGCCUCUCCUGUUGAUGUGGCAUUAUCUCCUCACCAGCCUUUCCAGGCUCCAAGCCUCCAUUCUCUACUCCACUCCACGGCAGUGCAUGGAUGCCCUGCACACUGCAUCUUCCAGACCUUGAGGCCAGUUGCUUCCCAUUAGCCCCUUUAAUGCAAGACAUUGGCAGUAGACAGGAAAAUAAGAUGAAGGGUGAAGACAGUCCCUUUCAUUUCCAGCUCUGGCCAGCAGCACCCCAACAGCAACAGAUGGUUGGCUCCAGGCUCCAACUCCUUUUGGCUUUCUCAGCAGCCUUGCAAUAACCCUUGAAGGAACUAACAGCACCCAGCACCCAUAAAGGCAUGGCUGGGCCACAACCUGUUUUGCUGUGUACCCUGGUUCUCCAUGGCCCCUGUUUGGCCGUAUCUUCUCCUCAAAAGUCUGAACAUUGGCUGCAGGAUGUCUCCACCCCACUUGUCUGGGCCCCAGCCAUGGAGCACUCCUUCCUUAAAGUCUUAAGCAUCAUUCAUGAGCUGUUCUUGACUUAGAGGUCUGAGCACCAGCUGUGCUGUGUCCCAUACUCACACAUCCAGCCUCCAGCUGUAGGUAGCUAACACCAGGAUUUCGGACCCCUGCCGCUGAUAGCGCCUUUCCCAUGUCCUCCUCUGGGCCCGUAGUUAUUAAUCUCUGUGGACAUUUGACCAUCUGCUACCUGUGUAAGCAAUCCUUUGCAUUAAAUUUCGUGUUCUGAAUACCCA